CUAGAAACUCUUAAUCAAUACCAAAGGCAAGGACUUAAAUCUGCAUUUUAUUGUGCUAGUCUGGUAACCUCCUGUAACUGACUUCCCUCCCCCUCCCAACUUUGGCAUUUCUUUAAGAAUUAAGCAUCUUUCUUUAGGCUAGGAACUGAUUGCUGCGCUCACCUGUGACCGCCCAGCUCCAGACAAUAGACUUGCCUCCAGCUACGCCCUCUGAGACAGCAGACCACUACCUGCUGUGUCCAUCAAGCACUGUGCUGACAGGGCAAUCUUGUGACUAUUGUGGGAGGGACAUUUCAAUCACAUGUGAAACACCCUGUUUGGGGGUAUAUAACCACUAUGUGCACCCCACUUCUUAGGUGCCCUUUCUUCCUUUGGGAAGAAAGGCCCCGGGCCAUGGUUCUUCAUAAAGCUUUGUUUAAUUUUCUCUUGCUAUUCUGUCUCAUGUGAAUUUAAUUCGUUCUCCGGUCAGACGAACCCCCCAUUUUGGGGAGAGGAAUGUCCUCCUCCCCUACAACGCGCAAUGAGAUCUUCUCUACUUCUAGCAACUGAAUCCUGAAGUCACGCCUUCAUUAGAAGAAAGAGAAUGCCUUGGGGGAGGUUGCAAUCACAGGAUGGCCAGCCCCCAGCAGCUGUUGAUGCCCAGAAAUCAGAUUGCCCAGGGGCUUAUCGGGAGUGACCCCUUUGUUUCCCUGAAGCUCCUCCUGCCAAGCCCCUUUGCUCCAGGAAACCUCCCUGCUUUCUGUUCUUGUGAAGGCGGAUUUGAACGACCCCAUGCUCCCACCUUCUCAUUUUGGCCAAUUCGAAUAAAACCUUUCUCCAUCUCAAAGCACCAAUGUUUCAGUGUUUGGCUUACUGUACAUUGGGCACACAAACUUGAGAUUAAGCACUUUGGUAUCAGGGUGGCAAAAUCAGAUUGCAUAGGUAAGGAUAUAGCUGAUUAUGCAGGACUUCAUAAGUCAAGUAAAGAAUUUAGAUAUUCCCGAUAUUAGUGGGAGCAUAUCGCUGGGGUUCAUACAAAGGAAAUAACAUGAUCAGGUUUUAUCUUACGAAGAUCUCACUGACUCCUUAAUUUUGCAUCCAAUCUGCAUGGAUAGAUGCAACUUUGUACCUAAAGGUAUUUGACUUUGAGUCACUCAAACUAGGUCACAGAUGUCAUUGUCAUCCUAUCUUCUUUCCAUGUCCCUCCUCCCAGUUAGCAUCUAGUAGUCAGGCAGCAUUGAUUCACUGAUUCUUCCCUCAUCUCUUAAAAUCCACUGUAUACCCAAUAUAGCACCAAGGACAUGAAG
This 1286-nucleotide long non-coding RNA is filed under the name Equus caballus (horse). RNAcentral's name for it is "lncRNA (ENSECAG00000054256.1)". Lineage: Eukaryota; Metazoa; Chordata; Mammalia; Perissodactyla; Equidae. The record is from RNAcentral.